GGGAGGAUGGCCGAGUGGUUAAGGCGGUAGAUUUAAGACCAGCUCGUUUCGCAUGGAAAAACUCUACUUUCGAAAGAAUCGUGGGUUCGAACCCCACUCCUCUCA
RNAcentral lists this transfer RNA (105 nucleotides) under Niveomyces insectorum RCEF 264. Its description in RNAcentral is "Sporothrix insectorum RCEF 264 tRNA". It matches the Rfam family "tRNA". Rfam says of the family: Transfer RNA (tRNA) molecules are approximately 80 nucleotides in length. Their secondary structure includes four short double-helical elements and three loops (D, anti-codon, and T loops). The record is from Rfam by way of RNAcentral. Lineage: Eukaryota; Fungi; Ascomycota; Sordariomycetes; Hypocreales; Cordycipitaceae.